ACGCUCGACACCUACGGAGGCAGCAGUGGGGAAUAUUGCACAAUGGGGGAAACCCUGAUGCAGCGACGCCGCGUGGAGGAAGAAGGUCUUCGGAUUGUAAACUCCUGUUGUUGGGGAAAAAGAGGAUGGUACCCAACAAGGAAGUGACGGCUAACUACGUGCCAGCACGCCGUAGUAUNGNGGCGGCGGUCGACGGACGC
This 200-nucleotide ribosomal RNA is filed under the name uncultured bacterium. RNAcentral describes it as "partial 16S ribosomal RNA". It matches the Rfam family "Bacterial small subunit ribosomal RNA", at positions 328 to 540 of the family's 1533-position model. The record is from RNAcentral.